GCCCGGGUGGUGGAAUUGGUAGACGCAGCGGACUCAAAAUCCGCCGCCGCAAGGCGUGCCGGUUCGAUUCCGGCCCCGGGCACCA
This 85-nucleotide transfer RNA is filed under the name Comamonas terrigena. Its description in RNAcentral is "tRNA-Leu". It matches the Rfam family "tRNA". From Rfam's summary of the family: Transfer RNA (tRNA) molecules are approximately 80 nucleotides in length. Their secondary structure includes four short double-helical elements and three loops (D, anti-codon, and T loops). Further hydrogen bonds mediate the characteristic L-shaped molecular structure. tRNAs have two regions of fundamental functional importance: the anti-codon, which is responsible for specific mRNA codon recognition, and the 3' end, to which the tRNAs corresponding amino acid is attached (by aminoacyl-tRNA synthetases). tRNAs cope with the degeneracy of the genetic code in two manners: having more than one tRNA (with a specific anti-codon) for a particular amino acid; and 'wobble' base-pairing, i.e. permitting non-standard base-pairing at the 3rd anti-codon position. Lineage: Bacteria; Pseudomonadati; Pseudomonadota; Betaproteobacteria; Burkholderiales; Comamonadaceae. The record is from RNAcentral. RNAcentral also lists the same sequence under 22 other names.